UUCCUGGGCUGUGAUGCUGUCCCACUCCUCAGCUCUUUUGGCUGUCCAUGGCUCAUUAAUAGGGACCUUUAAGUACGCAAGAUCAUAUAGACACAGAUGUAAAUGAUAAAGGGUCAUUGAUGUGAGAGGAAGCUGAAGAGCCCAGAGAAAAUCAACAUGCCCAAGCAGUGGUUGUAUUGUAACUGACUGACAUAUGAAUCAGCUACCUGACGUGUUAGUAGUCGUCCGCCAACCCUGUCUCUGGCCUCCAGAACAACA
Long non-coding RNA from Magallana angulata, 258 nucleotides. RefSeq lists it as uncharacterized. NCBI's taxonomy places the organism in Eukaryota, Metazoa, Mollusca, Bivalvia, Ostreida, Ostreidae. The transcript is spliced from 3 exons. The record is from RefSeq and is a predicted model, not a curated record.